This is a long non-coding RNA of Oncorhynchus tshawytscha (Chinook salmon), 501 nucleotides long. NCBI's taxonomy places the organism in Eukaryota, Metazoa, Chordata, Actinopteri, Salmoniformes, Salmonidae. The record is from Ensembl.
GGGGUACCGGUACCGAGUCAAUGUGUGGGGGUACAGGUUAGUAAUGAGACUAUAUACAGGGGGUACCGGUACCGAGUCAAUGUGUGGGGGUACAGGUUAGUAAUGAGACUAUAUACAGGGGGUACCGGUACCGAGUCAAUGUGCGGGGGUACAGGUUAGUAAUGAGACUAUAUACAGGGGGUACCGGUACAGAGUCAAUGUGCGGGGGUACAGGUUAGUAAUGAGGCUAUAUACAGGGGGUACAGGUUAGUAAUGAGACUAUAUACAGGGGGUACCGGUACCGAGUCAAUGUGUGGGGGUACAGGUUAGUAAUGAGACUAUAUACAGGGGGUACCGGUACCGAGUCAAUGUGUGGGGGUACAGGUUAGUAAUGAGACUAUAUACAGGGGGUACCGGUACCGAGUCAAUGUGCGGGGGUACAGGUUAGUAAUGAGACUAUAUACAGGGGGUACCGGUACCGAGUCAAUGUGCGGGGGUACAGGUUAGUAAUGAGACUGUAUA